RNAcentral lists this microRNA (22 nucleotides) under Mus musculus (house mouse). Its description in RNAcentral is "mmu-miR-1897-3p". The record is from miRBase by way of RNAcentral. Lineage: Eukaryota; Metazoa; Chordata; Mammalia; Rodentia; Muridae.
UCAACUCGUUCUGUCCGGUGAG